Molecule: ribosomal RNA, 747 nt
Filed under: Triticum aestivum (bread wheat)
Lineage: Eukaryota; Viridiplantae; Streptophyta; Magnoliopsida; Poales; Poaceae
Description: partial small subunit ribosomal RNA
Source: RNAcentral
AUGGUCUUCCAUAACAUCCUCCCCAAGAUAGGCGCCCACUGGCUCGUCAACUUGUACCGCUCGGCCAGGAAACUCCGCAGCUUGCAGAGCAAGCCAUCUACCGUUGCCGCCUCCGGGUGCACCAUCCCGGCCGCUGCCGGAAGGACGGUGCUGUACGACUUCCACGGCGGGAUCCUGAGGUCCAGAGCUCUCUUCCCCUACUUCAUGCUCGUCGCCUUUGAGGGCGGUAGCUUUCUCCGGGCGCUACUCCUCCUCGUCUUCUUUCCUCUCGUAUGGAUACUCGGCGAGCACUCCGACGCCAGCCUCAGGGUCAUGGCGUUCGUCACCUUCGUCGGACUCAGGCCACGGGACGCUAACCUCGUGGCCCGCGCCAUCCUGCCCAAGUUCUACAUGGAGAAGCUCAACGCGGAGGUGUACGAUCGCUUGUGGCUGCCGGCGAAGAGGAAGGUGGCGGUGACGAGCACGCCGAAGGUGAUGGCGGAGUGGUUCCUCAAAGAGUACAUGGCCGCGGACAUAGUUGUCGGGAAUGAACUUCAGAUGAUUAAGGUUGGUCGCCGCUGCUACUUCACCGGGCUGCUGGGCAGGUUAGGGCCAUUGCCGGGCGGCAUGACGGAGAAGGUCCUGAGGUCGGAGUUUGGAGUGGACGGCGGCAUGGCCGACCUUGCCGUUGUCGGGAGCUCCAACCCACUUAAUCACCACUUCACCUCCUACUGCAAGUUCUACUCAUAUAUCACCCGAUCAAGUUAG